This 429-nucleotide ribosomal RNA is filed under the name uncultured Pseudomonas sp. RNAcentral's name for it is "bacterial SSU rRNA". It matches the Rfam family "Bacterial small subunit ribosomal RNA", at positions 355 to 776 of the family's 1533-position model. The record is from RNAcentral. RNAcentral also lists the same sequence under 1 other name. Lineage: Bacteria; Pseudomonadati; Pseudomonadota; Gammaproteobacteria; Pseudomonadales; Pseudomonadaceae.
UGGGGAAUAUUGGACAAUGGGCGAAAGCCUGAUCCAGCCAUGCCGCGUGUGUGAAGAAGGUCUUCGGAUUGUAAAGCACUUUAAGUUGGGAGGAAGGGCAGUCAGUUAAUACCUUGCUGUCUUGACGUUACCAACAGAAUAAGCACCGGCUAACUUCGUGCCAGCAGCCGCGGUAAUACGAAGGGUGCAAGCGUUAAUCGGAAUUACUGGGCGUAAAGCGCGCGUAGGUGGUUCAGCAAGUUGGAUGUGAAAGCCCCGGGCUCAACCUGGGAACUGCAUCCAAAACUACUGAGCUAGAGUACGGUAGAGGGUGGUGGAAUUUCCUGUGUAGCGGUGAAAUGCGUAGAUAUAGGAAGGAACACCAGUGGCGAAGGCGACCACCUGGACUGAUACUGACACUGAGGUGCGAAAGCGUGGGGAGCAAACAGG